UAACAACAAAAAAUGGCGACAAUCACGUUGUACAAUGUGGUCUUGCUGCGUCAUUAGAAAAUGUUCGUGGAAAUACAGGGAAAAAAACAAGCAAAGUACUGAAAGGCGAUGCUCAGAAUCGUUAGAUGGCUGAGCGAGGAGGGCGGAGCGACUGGGGGAGGAGGCUUCUCUGAAGAGGCAGUGUGACUGGACUGCUGGAAAGAAACAGCGAUCCGAGGGUGGAGUCGCAGCAGAGACCAUAACAAGUUUGACGUGCGUGUUUCGUGUUUCGAGGCAAAGGAUGAUGUGUAGGAUUGCUUCAACUCUGACCCCGUUACACUGCGGAAUCUAUACCUCGGCUUGAUGUGACAGGCUGCCCUGGCUCAGUUAUCACAGUGCUGAUGCUGUCCGUCUUAAAGGUACAGUACUGUGAUAACUGAAGGAUGGCAGCCAUCUUGGCAGCAGAGGUCCUUCGGUGUAAAAGAAGCAUGGAUCUUGGAUGAAAGAGCAAGAAAGGUUAGAGGGUAAAGAAGAACGGAAAACAGCUGUAAAAUAAAUAAAAUAAUUGUCUUGAGCAUCGAAUUAGUCACAGCUGGGAAAUUCAGUUAUGCUGUGCUGUUUGCAUGUUCACAUCAUUCUGGAGAGCAGUUUUUAAGAAACAAAAGUCCAAAGCAUAAAGAAAGCAAACCUUUCUUUGUCCAAGAAGUAUGUGUGAUGUAGCUUUAAAGGUUCUAUACUGUUCUUCAGGGAAUUGUCCCAUCGCCUCACAUAUUUCACCUGCACACCCUUCAUGAUGCCUACAUUUAUCCCACCAAAGAAAAACAGGAAAUCAGGGCAAGUAUAAAUGAAUUGUCAUCCAACUGCACUUGGAACUGAGCAAAGAUGCCCGAUUUGUUUCCAUCAUUCUUGUUUAUUCAUUUUUGUAAGAUUGCAUCUUUUUCCUUUCGUAUUUGUUUAGCAGUAACUAAACCAUGCUUUACAUUGUUUAAGAUAAUCACAUGUAAUGUCUGCAGUGAGGUGUAGUAAGUGAUUUUAAAGCCAUUUACUUUAUCUCUGAUAAUAUUGCUGGUUUGCCUUCCGCUAAUUUUAAGACCUAUAGGGAAAUAUGUAUUUAUAUCUGCUUUUUGUACUCUAAAGCAUCUACUCAAAUAAUAUUACUUUACCAGGAUCUUAAUAUUGUUCUAAAUAAUAAAUGAGGUUUUUCUUAAUAUCAUGAAACAUUUAACCCCUUUUACUCAUUUUUUUUUUUAUUAAGUACAUACUUUAACUUUUAGAUGCUAAAAACAUCUAUCUAAUGCAGUGCUGUUUGCUGUUAUUAUAUAGUGGUGAAAGUGGACUAAAGUUACUUAUAGUCUUUAAUCUUUUUUUUCAUAGAUGUUCUGUUUUCAUGUAAUUUUUUGUGCCUUUUUUCUCAAAUCUCAUUUUUUUUUACUGGAUUUUUCAAUAAUUUACAGGUAUAUAGAAUCCCUGACCUCUGUGCCAAAGUUGUUCCCCUAAUUAUAUGACCAUGAACACAAAAGCAUUUUAAAACAUGUUGUACAAUUCAAUUAUAGUAAAAGCUAAAGGAUAAUUGUUAUACUUAACAUUGAGCACAAUCUAAAACGCAGUUGCCAUUAGAAAAGGGCAUUCCAACAAGGGGAUUUUUUUCUGUUAAUUUUCCAUUCAAAUACACCCACUGUGCCUGCUGGCAAAUAUUCUGUACCUUUUUGCAUUUUUAAGUUUGGUUUGAGCAGGGACAAUUUUCCUAAACUUGAUGCUUGAGGGGUAUGUUAUUUGUAUUGUAAUUUUAUUAAAAGUGAAAUGGAAAAACAAA
Lepisosteus oculatus (spotted gar) is the source of this 1792-nucleotide long non-coding RNA. RefSeq lists it as uncharacterized. The record is from RefSeq and is a predicted model, not a curated record. NCBI's taxonomy places the organism in Eukaryota, Metazoa, Chordata, Actinopteri, Semionotiformes, Lepisosteidae.